UACGAAGGGGGCUAGCGUUGCUCGGAAUCACUGGGCGUAAAGGGUGCGUAGGCGGGUCUUUAAGUCAGGGGUGAAAUCCUGGAGCUCAACUCCAGAACUGCCUUUGAUACUGAGGAUCUUGAGUUCGGGAGAGGUGAGUGGAACUGCGAGUGUAGAGGUGAAAUUCGUAGAUAUUCGCAAGAACACCAGUGGCGAAGGCGGCUCACUGGCCCGAUACUGACGCUGAGGCACGAAAAGCGUGGGGGAGCAAACAGG
Molecule: ribosomal RNA, 255 nt
Filed under: uncultured bacterium
Lineage: Bacteria
Description: partial 16S ribosomal RNA
Rfam family: Bacterial small subunit ribosomal RNA
Source: RNAcentral